AAUACUAACCAAAAACACCGCAACAAAUAAAUACUAACCACAGUAAUUAUAUAUUUUCCCUAGUCUACAAGAUUCUGCUUCAGCUCUUCUUUCAUGUCCGCCAAUAAUUCUACAAUUGAAGGGUUCGAAUGUUACCGAUACAUAAUACAAAAUUAAAAUAAUAUAUCAAAUAAGCAGCCCUAAAAAACCUACAAACCAUAGAAAAUAUAUAGAGAAGAAAAGACGAAUCUCGUGUGGAAUCCAAAACGUGAAAUAAAUAAAUUUCCUCUGCACCCCAACUCAACCCCAGUGGCCACUCCGUCUAAUAUAUUAACCCAAAAACCGAUUUCUCUCUCUCCUACUGUAAUAUCCCCAAGUCCGGUAUCAAACACCACAAAUCUGGUAUAUUUAUUCUAUAACUAUUGUGGAAGAUAUAAAUAUAAAUUGUUUAUACAUUAAACUUUACACACUAUCCCCAAGGUCGAGAACCUUCACUUAUUACUGAAUUUAAUAUUCUAUCUAACAUAUAAUGUUAUUAUCAUACAAAAUUGUUACAACCUUUAUCUGUAUUAUCAACCAAUGCUGGAACUGUCUUUAACCUUUCCUGUAUCCGACGCAUUCAUACUAAUCUGUAAUAUUUAUCAUGAUAUAGCAAGGGUGAGCAACAAGUUUGCCCAACAAGUAUAAGUUCAAUAAAUUAAGGAUAUAUCAUGAUGGAAAGAAUUGAACAAUACGUUGGCUAAAGUUCUACAAUAUAAUUGUGAACUGGCAUAAACAAAUUUUCAUAGCUGAACGAAUAAUGAACAUGAAUAACUAUAACUGAACAAAAUGGUAAUGAAGGUGAUGAUCAGCCUUUCAUACUUGAUGAAGACGUGCAAUAUGCACAGAGUGCUAUUCAACAAAUCAUAGACGUGAUAAUCAGCAAUGAUUAACCACAAGCAUACUUGAAUGAAACAACUCAAGGUUGAGUUAGAGAAAACUUGCCUUUAUCAUCGACUACUGCUACACAAUUUAUUUAGCUUCGUCUGAAGACCUAAUAUAGAUUAUACCGAUCUCUAAAUAUUAGAAUAAUAUUAUCACAGUAUAAUAAUAUUAUAUAUACUUACAAAAUAACCUAAACACAUAACAGAUAACCCUAUCAGUCUACCAACUACCUAAGACUCGGUAUCAAGUCAAACUAUUUCUGUUUGAGUUGAAUCCGACACAAUUUCGGCAUCCCAACGGCCUAGUCGGAUAAUUAUCGAGCCUAAUAUCCAUAAGACUCUAUCUAAACGCAACACAAUUAUCUUAGAUAAUUUAUUAAUCCGCCAAAAUAAUUUUUAAAGGCUCAUAAUAAUUUUCAAGUAAUUAUUAUCAUUUAUCAUGAUUUUUUUAUCAUUAAUAUCAUAUUUAUAUGAUUUAAU
Molecule: long non-coding RNA, 1382 nt
Filed under: Panax ginseng (ginseng)
Lineage: Eukaryota; Viridiplantae; Streptophyta; Magnoliopsida; Apiales; Araliaceae
Description: long non-coding RNA (PGIN_LNC008176)
Source: RNAcentral